This 253-nucleotide ribosomal RNA is filed under the name uncultured bacterium. RNAcentral describes it as "partial 16S ribosomal RNA". It matches the Rfam family "Bacterial small subunit ribosomal RNA", at positions 524 to 776 of the family's 1533-position model. The record is from RNAcentral.
UACGGAGGAUGCAAGCGUUAUCCGGAUUUAUUGGGUUUAAAGGGUGCGUAGGUGGGAUUAUAAGUCAGAGGUGAAAUAUUGCAGCUUAACUGUAAAAUUGCCUUUGAUACUGUAGUUCUUGAGUUCAGUUGAGGUGGGCGGAAUGUGUAAUGUAGCGGUGAAAUGCUUAGAUAUUACACAGAACACCAAUUGCGUAGGCAGCUCACUAAACUGACACUGACACUGAGGCACGAAAGCGUGGGGAUCAAACAGG